This is a long non-coding RNA of Drosophila yakuba, 12006 nucleotides long. RefSeq lists it as uncharacterized. NCBI's taxonomy places the organism in Eukaryota, Metazoa, Arthropoda, Insecta, Diptera, Drosophilidae. The record is from RefSeq and is a predicted model, not a curated record. The transcript is spliced from 2 exons.
AAACUUUAAAAUAAACAAAACGAAUUAGUUAAUUGUGCUAUUCACCAAUAAAAAAAAAACCUUCUUUACCAAAACCCCAUUCUAUUUUGACCAUGGCCAGAAGCCAAAACCGUUUUCCUGCAGCUACCAAGUUUUGUUAUUGUGUCAGCUCAACGUUCUUUGCUUUCGGGCAAUUUCAGAAAACUGGCAAAGUCCUUUGGGCUCAGAAUCAAUAUUGAUUUGGUUUUCUUCCCCAAACAGCAGCAGCCAAAAAUUGCCAGAAUCGAAAGAAAAAGGUUAACACAUAGCGUUUAUGUGAAGAUGUUACUCUUAGUUUCGCAACAUUUUCCUCCGCUUUUCUCCUGGGUAUUUGUGAGUGUGUGAGUUGGGUGAAAUUUUGUGGAGCAUCCAUUUGGCUUAUGGGAAAGUUGCAUUUGAAUUGGCCAAAAGUGGCCGAGAAGCAGAGAAUGUGAUCGUAAUUGAUGAGCAAGAGUGCGGUAGGAAAACAGGUCGUUAAAUGGUUUGGAAGGCAGAACAAGGAACACGCAAAGUACGGCAUUUUCCCCAUCACUACAAUUUCCUGUUUGACCAUUUUCCCCAAAGUGAACAUAUUUGGCCAAAAUAAUUGAGUGAACUAAACCCGAUUCGUUAGCUCCAGACUUUUAUCAAUAUCUACUUAAAUACUUUCAAUUAAUCCAACAUAUUUGCGUAAAUAUUAUGGCAAACGCCCAGUCAUUACAAUUCAAUUAUAGAUCCUAUCCAGACUUUCAAACCCACAAAAUCAAUCAAUCAUUUAUUAAGCAGCUCAAUCAAUUUUCCCCAGCCCAUCGGCCAAGUCGGUUGAAUUAGGUGGCGUAUCGCCUUUGGCCAAAUUGAAUACCUGUCCCUAAUCUCUGCUUUAGCUGUACAAAAUCGCUUGCAACACUCAACACACAUACAGAUUAGUUCGGGUUUUUGAGUAGUUUGGGUAGGCAGCUAAAAGCCAAAACUUUCAUAUCAGUGGGCGGCUGUGGGCGUGGUCAAUGGGCUUAGUUCAGCCAGUUGAACUACUGUAAAAACGAUGGCGCCAAGUCAAAGUCGUAAACUUGAACAUGACUGCUAAAAGGUUUUACUCUUCCUUGUGAAGGUAUUUAAACUUUAUGGUAAAAGUUUUCCGAAUGGCGAAACUCACAUUUUAUAGGUCUUCUCUUAAAAUUUGUAUUUGUAAGACAUAUAAUUUCAAUCUCUAUUGCUGCUGCCUUUAUAAAUACCUCUAUACAUAGUAUUCAUAUAAUAGAAUAAGAGUAUCUUUACGUUGACAUACACGAGAUUAUGCAGUGGCACAACCAAGUAUUUAGUACCUGCGGCAUGUGUUAACAUAGGUUUUUCAUUUAGCCCUUUUUAUUUUCUUGCAGACUUUUUUAAGUAGAUUUUUUUUGGGCUUCGGUUGUCUCACGUAGCGCGAAAUGUGUGCAUUUUAAUGAUCCAAAUUAUGGUUACUUUAUUGCGUUAUUAAUAACAUUUUGAUUGCAUCACGUACGCACGCACAUUGGAGCUCAGCAGAGUUUACCCUCUAGGUAGACCUUUGCAGAGAAAACCAAAUAACAAAAGUACAGAGAGAAAAAUGUGGCAAACAACCUUCUAUAUUCUGUAACAAGAAAUCCAUGUCAAUUGUAAGUGUUUGCAGUAUAUCAUCUGAUUUUGAAUCUGCAAAUUGCAUGUACAUAUUAAACUAUUAUAUAGAACCGCUUCCGAUUUCUAAAUUUUCUUCUGUGCAGGACAGAUCCACCACCACCAAGAUCCAGACCAGACCCAAUCCGAUCCGAUCCGAUCCCGGUUGCUUGGGCUGUCAACACUCUUUUUGGCGCUCCGCUCACGUUUCGGUUUGCCGGCCACGUAAAUGGAAAUGGCAUGGAAAUGGGUGCAAGGUGUGUGUGCUGCAGUGUUCGCCGCGGGGGGAAAUGGGGGGAAAUCGGGGUACUUGGGGUGUUGUGCUGCCGGAGACUCCUCCUUGGAUUUCGGCUGUGUCUUGCUGUCGAAGGGCAUCCCAAAGAGAAAAAAAGAAAACCAAACGAGAGCCGCGAAAUAAGUUUCGUUUGCAGCUGUAGAAAUCGUGUGCCGAGCUGCAGCCUUGGUUUCUCUGCUGCUUCUUUUCCCGGUGUCUUAUCAAUGUUUCAUUUUUAGCUUUCGAGUGCCGUUUUUAGUUAAUUUUCCGUUUCUGUUAUUGAAUUUUUACAACUGCCCCGAAGUGGGUCAAAGAUACAGAUACAAAACUGAAUUGGAAUCGGAAUCGGAAUCGGAGACGGAGACGGAGACGGAAUCGCAGACGGAGAGGCCUCACAAAGCCACCAUAGUCACAUAAUAAAGAGAGCGGCGGCGGCAACGGCGGCGGUAAUUUAACGUUCAUUAAUGUCUGGCAUAAUUUUCGGUACUUCUUCUUUUGCGAGCUGCAAAACCCGGCUGAUGAGGAAUGUUUAAGCCAAAAAGGUGCCCUCGAGAGCAUAAACCAUGUCGACGGCAGCUGCCAAAAGUGGAUCGAGUAUCGGAAUGACCGGGGAUAGCCAUGCGUUCAUAUAUGUAUAGGCGAAAGGGUUGAGGGAUUUUUAAUUAUACUUCUUAGCCAGAAAUUUGCAAAUUUGGGACCUUGCCAAAGGUAUUAUGAUUUUAUUGGUUUCGGACAAAGAUCCUUGGACGACUCGUCAAUAAUCAUCAGUAAUACCCAGAUCGAAAAUAUCACACUUCAUUUUGAAAUGAGUCAGGUUUAAGCUUAUUACUUGCGGUUUCAAUUUUGAUUAAACAGACGAUUAAGUUCCACGAAAACUAUGCUUGAUAUUUUCGAUUUAUUUUUAAACAUUUAAACAAUUCAAGUUUUAUCAAUUGGUCAUAAAAUACUCCGUAUUAAACGUUUUCAAUUUAAAUAUGUAAAUGUAAAUUAAUUAAUAGAAACCGAUUAAAAUUCAACGGAGAUUCUGUGCCAUGUCUGUGAUUAUUAUUCUAAUCUCAGGAAGGGUCUUGUCUUUUUCAAUUUGCAUUUACAUUGGCAAGCAAGAAAAAGCCGGAACCGGCAUUUCUGACGUCAUUGGCAAACAACCGGCUAAAAACAAAAGAGCACAAAAAGUAACCAGGGAAUAUCCGACUAGAACUUAACAAACCGAUGAUGGGAACGGGUUGGGUUGGGUUGGGAGAACAAGUUGGGCAAGACAAGUACGGGAUAUAACUUUGACUACUACAAGUUGCCCAUCUGCGAAGGGAACAGAAGUGGAAAACAGAGGGGAAACACAAUAUAGGUAUAGGUAUAUAGAUGGUUAGUAUCCCGGGGUUGAGGAAUCCGAGGAAGUCACAUUGCUCCGGCACGGGGCACAAAACCCUAACAAAAACGUGCAAAAAGAUAUGGUCGGCAUAAAGAGUGAGUCGCUGGCAACCUUGGAAGUUAUUUUCAAGGUGUGCACACGCUUCAAACGGAAGAGGUGGAGGUAACUCGGCGCUGACAACAAAACCAAACUAGAAGUUGUUCAAAUACACAGAAAUACAUAUAGAUGUACAUAUAUACUCGUAUGUAUAUAUAAAAUAAAACAACAAGAUGGGGCAGAUUCAGCCCCUACAUCCCAUAAUUUAUGGCCAGACACGAGCUGAAUUUUGUGCAGAAAUAAGGGAGCUACCUUUUGUAGAUGUAGAUACCUGCGAAAAUUCUGCCGAGAUACUAGUAUUAGUACUUUUUGCCAGAGCCGAUCAACUUUUGCACUACAUCACAAAGAGCUGCCAGUCAUUCGUGCAUUCGAUUAUUAUUUGUUGUUCAUAAAUACGGGCAGCUAUCUCUUGGUUUGCAAGUACUAAUAUUCAUUCACCCUGAACAAAAUAGAUUUCAGAUUUAUGACUCGCUUAGCAAAGUCAAUUUGUUUGGCCAUAUAAUUCUAUACUCUCCUCUUUGUUACUGAGCAAACCGUGAUAAAAAGUUAUUAGUAAGUGUUAUAUUUAUUCAAUAAUACUUACAUGCUAAAACAUACUAAUAAAUGUCUAAGUUUAAAGUGAGAUACACUUAUUUAAACCCUAUCUCUUGUGAGCUUUCUUGUAUUUCUAAAAACAUUUAAAAUUUGUACACUUUAGUUUCUCCUCUAUUUUAUUCAAACGCUUUUUUUUUGCGAGUACACAAAUGUCUAUUUUUCGCGUUCUGCGCCUAUACCAUAUAUCGCUGCCCCUUCGGUUAUGUGCUUCUUUUCGCAGUUUUUUCCUCCCUUUUUUUUUUUUGAUUGUUUUAACGAACUCAGGUUGUUUUGACCAUGAACCCAUCAUAAGUUUCAAAUGGCUCACGAUUUUAUUUCAUUUUAUUAUUUUUUCCUUUUGCGAGUUGGUGGGGCAAUGUUUGCGAUAGAAUGUGUUUCGGGGCUGUGGCUCCUCUUCGUAUUACCGAGUUCGUUCCUUCACUUUAUUUCGCUUGUUUAUUUAAAUGGGCGGGCUAUUUGAACUUAUUUGACUUCGUUUUCACUCCGUCUUCUUUGUCCGAUUCCCAGUUACUCCAAAACGUAUUCUUAGGCAUAUAAAUUUGUCAUAAUUUCGUUGGUUAGACGGCAUAAUUAACAGGCUUUCUGGCUAUUGACCGAGCGCCAUCGUUUCGUGACUGUAUCCGUAGUAUUUGUAUCUGUAUCCGAGUAUCUCAGAGUAUCUGUAUCUGUAUCUGCGUUUCUUUGUGUGUCGGCAGUGCGUGUAUUUGCUUAGUAAUUAUAGACGUUAGAAGUCGCAUAUAUAGGUGUCUGACUUGUCCGGGGCAUUAAACGUGCCAUCGAGUCGGUUUUUUCUCAAGGUUUAGGGCGUUAGUGUUCCAAUGGCCCCGAGGCCCAGUAGAGGCGGCUUUUUUCUCUCUUUUUUUGUUUAGCUGCGAGCCAAAGUACAAUAAAGAAAAAAGAUUGCCUCUGAUGGCCAUUAAAUUUGAAUAAGUUCGAAAUUGCCGGACGAAAAGAAAGGGACAAGAAAUUUGUUUUUGCGGGGGAUUUUAACUUGUCGAAAUUUGCAUAACUGAGCCUAAGUGUUGGUUUAAAUUCGCAUGAGGGAAAAUUAACUUUGAGUUAACCGAUUUGUAUCUUUCCUUAGCCACACAUGAAGGCAAGUAGGUACACACGACUUUCUAUCAACGUAGGCAUAUAUCUUAUAAUCUGUAUUUCUUUCCCAUGCUUGCCAAACUUUUACCCUUUUUUGUAUAAAACAAAAGCCCAUCAGCCAUAGAUCAAAUCAUCUGCUUAACCCCAUUUACUCACACCGACGCGACAAAGUCAAUUGUCAACAUAAAUGUCAUCGGAUGAUAAACAUACCUGGAACGACAAGAGUUAAAGGUUUACAACCGAUUAAUAAAGGUUCAUAUGCGGAGGGGAAAAUCGCGACAUUACAUAAAAGAGAGAAGAUCCCCGGAUGACAUGCACCACCAUAACCACCGUGAAGUCAAUUGAAGUUGCUCGCACACAAUGGCAACUGCGAAGGAAGCGAAAUUAAAUAAAAGCGCAGACAUCGGCGACGGCUGCAAAAAGCAGAUCAACAUAAAAAGAAAAUAAAUCAAAAAGCGCUCAGUUUUUUUCUUUUCUUUUUGCAUAAAACCAACGGGAAUGGCUGAACAAAAAAAAACACUUACAAGUAGUCAGUUGCUUGCGCUGCUGAUGCCGAAUGAAACUUUUCACCAUUUUGCAUAACAAUUUGUAUCUUUCAGUGGAGCGCAUUAAAGUCAUACGGCAGAAAAAAUAAAUACAAAAAAAGAAAAAAAAAAAACACAAAAAUGAAAACGGAGUCAAGGGUCCAACUUUUACUCGUUGCUCAACAUUAAAUUUUUGCGAGAGGACAGACGGAGAAAAACCAUGAAAAGGGAUUGGGAUGGGGCUUCCACUUCGGUGAGGGGGCAACCCUGAGUUUGCAAAAGUCCCCUCUGGAACUCCCUCCUUUUGGAGCCACCAGGCCCUCAUUUCCAUCGGUUUGGGAUGUCUGCCAACAGCGAAGAUACUCAGAUACAAAGAUAUGUCCACACAGACGGCACAUGUUGUGUAACUUUAGGAAAGUUGAAAGUUCAAAUUGAGGCAAAGCGGAACUAGUGAUGAGGUUUAACUAAUUCAAUAUGUAACGGAAUGUUGUGGAUGCAUCUUUAAAUAAUUGAUUGUCGCGGAAAUGGGCUUGCCGGAAUUUACAUUUUAAAUAGUUUAUAGUUUAUAGAUAGUUUGUGCAUUUUAGAUGGGGAGUAUUCAAAACACCAUCGAGUGUAGCAAGAACUUUAAAUCGUAAAUAAUAGUUUAGUAACUGGAUCAAUUGUCAAUCGAAAAUUGGAGCAUCUCUAUGAUCCCCACUGUACAUGCUAAUAAAUGUGUGGAAAGGGCGUAACGUUCCGAAAUUAACUCAAACUGUCGACAGACCCUGCAAAACGAAGCAUUUGGUUGGAAAAGGGGUAAAAGAAUGGCGGUCAGAGAGGAGGGGAGAGUAGAGGUGGUUGGAUAAAGAGUCAAGCAAAUAAUGGUUCAAAAGGGGGUCCCCGACAGAAGGAGAUUCCCGGUUGCUGGAGCUCGAGUUUCAAUUUAAAUGCAACUGACAUUAAAUUUACUACUUUGCCACACUACAUGCCACAGAGACUGCAGACUACUGCUGCAAGAGAUGUGUCUGCCAGAGGAAAGAGACGGCACAACAGCGGCAGAAAGAGAGGGCAGCACAAAUAGAGGGAGCUGGCGAACAGGAUUUGUGUUUGGCGGUGGUUCUGCUGGUUCCACUUCCCUUCUCAAUCACACCAGUACACAGUAACAAAUAUGUAUGUAUCUAUAUAGGCAAAACAUACAUUUCAGCAAGUUAAAAUAUUAUAUUAUGUAAGCCACUCUAUGAGCUAACUGCUUUUUGUUUUAUAUCUAUUACUCUAAAUGCAUGUAAGAGGAGCGAAAUUUGAGCAGUGUAUUCAGGCAUUCGCUCCGCAAGUUUUGCAACUAAAGUUGAGACUUUGGGUGCGGUAAAUUGGGCGGGGGGGUGGUUGUGAGGGGGUGUGCCUGCGCAGACAUUGUUGCUGUGUGUCUGUUAAAUAAAUUUAAUGAACUAGCGCAACCAUAAAGCUUAACUUAUCAAGAAUGCCAAGCUGCAGGGGAAAGACUCCAACUGGAGUCGAAAACGAAACGAAAAUAUUGCACAGUGGCAAUCACAAAUUUAUCGAUGGGCUUUAAUAGGUAAGGUUUGAGCAUUUUUGAAAGGCCAGGAAAGAUAUAGCAGCAAUAAAAAGAAAGAGAUAUGAGUUGUUUGCUAAACACGUGAGGAUAUUAUAUUAUCUUUACUUGUUUAGAUGAAGAAACGAAGCAUUCCAAUGCCCUAACCAUUUAAAGCAACUCCAUCUAGACCAAAUAAUUGAAAUAUAGCCUUUCUUUUGUGUAAAGCUCUAACAUCGGUGAACUUAUUUUACGAAUUUAUAAAUUUUUUAUAGUUUUGAAGCCACUGUUCGGCUGUCAGUGUUACAAACACACAUAGGCCCAAAACAACCAACACUUUAUCGUUAAACUCAUUCGACUUGUUGUCCAAUUGUGCAAUAAACUAACAACGACAAAUAAUUGUAGAAAAUGCAAAUUUUUUUAGGCAAAAGCGCAGCACAAAAAAAUGUUGAAUGCAAAGAAGCCUGGAAAAACGAACGCAAUAUAUUGCGUGAGUCAGAAUAAGUUCAGUGAACCAAACUUUGGAAUGCAGUAGAGGAAAUAAAUUCUAUAACUAUUAAGUGAUCAUAACAUAAAUAUGUAUCAAUGUGUUUAAUAUUUCCUUUUUUCUUCAUAUUGCCCAACCUUUUCCCAUUGUGUUGAUAAAAGACUGUGUCGGAAAAUGUGCCACAUCCAUUUGUCUGGUCUUUGUCCCUUUGUUUUUUCGACAAGAAAAAGUCUGGCCAGACCAGACGCCUUCAAUCGUUAAUCCAUUCAUUGGCGAGUGGGUGUCAGUUUGCUGCAGUCAGUUUGAACUUUUCAAAUGGAAUUUUAAACAAAUGAAAUCAGCAGCACACUGCAACAGCCAUACAAGAUAAAGACAAGACUCCCCCAAUCUGAAUCCGAGUCUGAGUCUGAGUCUGAGGCAAUUGAGAUGAGAACUGGUUGACAAGACAGCGGCAACAGCAGAAACAACUGUCAUUUGUUAUUGUCUUUGUCCGUCACUUUGUUAGUCUACUGCACACUCAACUCCACUCCACUCCAGAUUGCAGUUUUUAUGGCUGGCAAUGUACUGGGAGAAAUAAAUGCCAAAGACGCCAGCAAAAAUUCAGAAACCCAAACCCUAGAGCCCUACAUACAAAGGUUAGUAAAAUACUUUUAAGUUCUAUGAUUAUUAGUUUAUCCCUUUAAGCAGGUUUAAUGCAUUUAUGUGCAUAUAGUUUCCUUUCAGUUUUCCAAUGAUAUUUCUCCAAGUGCUUCCUAGUAGCACCCACAUUAGCGGGCUCAAUAGUUUUGAAGCUGAUUUCGUUGCCGUCGGACUUUAUGAUUUCCAUUCAUUUAGCGGCAAACAGGAAGAGAAAGUAAUGCACUGCAGCGGCUUCAACUUCGUUUCAGUCUCUGAAUUCGACUGUGACUUGGACUUGGGGACUCUGGGGCGCUCUCACUUCAUAAAUUUACCCGGCAAGGUGUCAAGUCAAUGCCAAAGAGCCCGAGAGCUGAGGACGCAGCUGAAUCCGAAUCGGAAUCGGUAUCGGUAUCCGAAGCUGAAGCUGAAGCAGAAGUUGGAGUUUCGGCAUGGGAUUGGGUUUUGGGUUUUCUGUUUUCAGUUUUGAGUUGAGGCUUCGCCAGUUGCUGGCCGCCAAGUGAAUGACAGUUGCCACCUUGAAAACGGCUGCCGUUGGUUUUUGUUGUUUUUAUAGCUGCUGCUGUUUUCUGCUGCUGCUGUUGCUGUUGCUGUUGCGGCAGCUGUCGUCGCACCAGCGUCAAGCUUUCAUUUAACCAAAGUCAGAGGGAGAAAGAUUGAGUCGCUACACGGAAAAACACAUUCACAACUUACAUAUGCUUGUCCUAUCCAACUAAAAUAUCUUUAUCGAUUUAUUUAAAUAAUAAUAAAAUGCUAAAUAGUCAGCAAUAUCCAUAGAAUUUUAACUUUAUUGGCUCACAUGUCGUAUGCGCACUUUUAGCACCACUGAAAAUGUCGCUUUAACUGCGUGACACGCAGUUAAUCCUAAAAAAAAGUGAAUCACCCACCAAUGGUUUAUGUUUUAUUUUGUUUUGACUCCGCUAUUUUGCCUUUCCCAUGUGUGUGGUGUUUGAAAGCAAAUUUCAUUUCAGUUUAUUUCACUACUUCAUUUGAUUUCAUUUCGCCGGCUGCCACACCAGGCCAUCAACAUCGACUCCCCCCGUCGCAGAUACUUUCCUUUACUUUCAUUUGAGUGAAAGAUACUCGAAGACGCGGCUCCCACUCUUUCUUUUUUAGGCUCUCUGUGAAUUGGAAGAGUGCUCUUUGCGCCGCUGGACGUUUUCAUUUUUAGUGAAAAGGACCAAUUUUAAUUUCACAUCGGCUUGCUUUCAAACACAUAUGUAUGUAUAUACGAAUGCAUACAUAUGUGUAAAUGCACUGUGAAGCUGUGAAGUUAAUUAUAUGUACAUGGCUAUCUGGCAGCUGCAUUUGCUUGCCGCUCAUUUGUAAAAGUAUCUUAUAGAUAAACAGGAAGUGAGUUCCAUUGGCCGUGGAUGCCGCUUUUUGUUGUAUUUCAUUUCAGUUUGGCUCAGGAAAAGUUCACUUCACUUUUACUUGCAAUACGGUUUUAUUUUCUCUGUGCAGAUUAGUGCUGUUUUUCAAAUUGCAUUUUCCAAUGGGUUUUUUUCUCUGCCUAUUCACGGGUGGGCGUUUUGGCCGAAAAUCGUUGGGAGAAAGGCUCGAUUUAAUAGCUUCAUUGUAAGCUGAGUGAAUGAAUGAGGAAAAGUUGGCAAAUUAAAUGGCACGUUUGUGUACAAAAUGUAUUGCGAUUUCGAAUUUAAUAAGCAGCCAAUUUUAAUGUGGCAGCUUAUGCUGAAUUUAACAUCAUGGCUUGUAAUAAAUGGUUUUCGCUUUACGGUUUGAUAAUGAGGUAUGUACUAUUUAAAAUCGAGGCUUACAUGAUAAAAUACAAGAAGUAAAAUUUUUAAUUUAUCCAAAAUAUUACAAUUUCCCAGCGUUAACUACUUUUUUCCAGUAACUCAUUUAGUUUUUCAGAUUUUCACCUGAGCUCGCAUAAUCAGCUUCAUCUGCCGCUUACAAGCUAAGUAAAUACUUUCUAACAACUAUCAAAUUUCACAGGCCGGCAAAGUGUUAAAUUCUCGACAAGCGAUGCAGGUGAAGCGAUAGGCGCGGUUAACAAGAACUCUCCAUCUCGCUCUACGAGGUGAAAGCGCCAGAGAUUAGAUGGCAUAAUUUUCACGCUUUUCCGCUAAAAGACAAGAGCUUCCCUUCAGAACUGCCCAAAGCAGCUCGCAAGUGGAAACUGAAAACUGAAAACUGAGAACUGAUUUAUUAUACAAAUUAAAAAAAGCGAUCGCAAGGGGGCAGGAAAAACCUUUAGUAAUUAGUGAGAACUUUGCGCCGUGUCAUGCAAACGAGCGGAGAUGGCAGAAGGGACGAUAGAAAAUUAUGAACAACAGAUCAAAGUGGAUAGAUAAAUAGUAGCGAAGCGAGCCCAAGAUAUAAUGGAAGCGAUUAGCAACAAUAAAGAGCAGUUGAUGUGCCGGGCCAGGCCCGGGCACAGAUUAUACAUAUUCAAAAGCGAGCUGGAGGAGAGCUGGAAGCGGCCAUAUAAGUUGAGACGACAUUAAGUAGCUACAAGAUACACACUCUAAACCGCAGCUCUGCUCUUGAGAUACUUUUGGACACGAAGCGGAAACACAGACAAGCCAACGCAAAGAAUCGAGGGACGAUCAACGAAGAUCGGGCAGCAAGACAAGCGGACGAACGCCAGUGUUGGCAGCUGGAAAAUCGAAAAGGUAGCUGAAGAAAUGAAGUAAAUAAUAUAACUAUCUUACAGACAAACAAAAAAAUACAGCAAAAAAUGUUUAAAAUAGUUAACUAAAUCUAAGUUCUGCAAACCAAGAACUCAGAAUCCGUAAGUACUUAGUUAGAUGGUACAAGUUUUUCAAGUCUAUUAACAGCUAGAAAAUGGCCAUAUCGGCAUCUCUGUCAUACGGACAAACGGACAGAAACAGAAGGCACGCCUUUUGAGCGACUUAACUCUUUGGCUACAUCAUAAAUUUUUAAUGUGAAGAUGUGCAGAGAGAUGCAACCACAAAAAAGACAGGCGACAGAGCACCAGCAGAAACAACAACAACAACAACAACCAAAUGGAGACAAGCAGUCGGGAUCGCGUAUCUUAAAGAUACAAAUUACAAGCGGUAGACAUUGAGAUUGAGGCCCCGGCAACACAACAAGAGCAAUAAAUAAACAACGCCGAUAUACGGAGGUAGUAGCAUGAAAAUGAUUAAAAGAGCUAAAGACCAUGUCUCCGCGGCGUUUCAUUCCGCUUCGUUUCACGGCCACCGGAUGAAACGCAGCGGCAACGGAACGAGCAACUUAUGCAAAUGUCGAGGAAGUUGAAACGUGCGAAUGAAAACGGUAUGACACUCGCUUAAUGCACCCAAAAUUGGAAAAAAAAAAAAAACAUGGGAAAGAAAGAAGGGGCUCCCGUGUCUGGGGGUCUGUCAUCAUUUUUGUCACGCACAUCGCCGUUUGAAGGCUUUUCUCUGCGCUGUCGGCUCUGCUGUCUGCUAUCUUCUGUCGAUGAAGACUCCUCUUCUGGCGUUUCUUCAGCUUCUUCAUUUUCUACAGCUGGUUUGCUUCUUUGUUUCCCUUUGUUGCUUUGAAUGCCGCCUGCUACUCGAAUUCAAUUUGUUAAGCUUUUAAGCGUGCCGGAACGAAACGAAUUGGAAUGGAACACUUAAAUGGAUGCACAGUGGGACCAAACGUUAGCAUUUUGGUUAUUUAUUGCAUUUUAAUUGAGUAUGUUUUGUGAUCAAACAAAAAUGGCAAUGUAUUCAACAAAAUGCCUUUAUAUACAGAAUUAUUAUAAAAUGUUUUUAUUUUCCUUGUUAAUAUAUUCCUUUAAUCUCUUGGCAAGUCGUACUCCAA